AAAGAAAUCGUUAAGGGCGUAUGGCGGAUGCCUAGGCUUUCAGAGGCGACGAAGGACGUGGUAAGCUGCGAAAAGCUACGGGGAUUGGCACACACGAAUUGAUCCGUAGAUAUCCGAAUGGGGCAACCCAAUACAUUGAAGAUGUAUUACUGCGUAAGCAGAGCAAACCCGGAGAACUGAAACAUCUAAGUACCCGGAGGAAAAGAAAUCGAAGAG
Molecule: ribosomal RNA, 216 nt
Filed under: Riemerella anatipestifer
Lineage: Bacteria; Pseudomonadati; Bacteroidota; Flavobacteriia; Flavobacteriales; Weeksellaceae
Description: partial 23S ribosomal RNA
Rfam family: Bacterial large subunit ribosomal RNA
Source: RNAcentral